GAUUUCUGACGAAACUGCUAGCUGGCCCGUCACGUCAGUGAUGUGUGCCGGCUUGGCGUUUGUCAUCCGUUCGAAUGAUAUGCGCGCUGCCCUUCACUGGGUUGGUGCUGCAUGUUUUCGAUCUUUUACUUUGAAAAAAUUAGAGUGUUUAAAGCAGGCUUUUGCUAUGAAUACAUUAGCAUGGAAUAAUAAUCUAGGACUUCGGUUCUAUUUUGUUGGUUUCUAUAACUGAAGUAAUGAUUGAUAGGGAUAGUUGGGGGUGCUAGUAUUGGCCGGCCAGAGGUGAAAUUCUUGGAUUCGGUCAAGACUAACUUAUGCGAAAGCAUU
Molecule: ribosomal RNA, 327 nt
Filed under: uncultured Cercozoa
Lineage: Eukaryota; Cercozoa
Also listed under: 1 other name
Description: SSU rRNA
Rfam family: Eukaryotic small subunit ribosomal RNA (bases 52-327)
Source: RNAcentral